UGCCAGACUCCUACGGGAGGCAGCGGUGGGGAAUAUUGGGCAAUGGGCGCAAGCCUGGCCCAGCAACGCCGCGUGAAGGAAGAAGGCUUUCGGGUUGUAAACUUCUUUUAAGAGGGAAGAGCAGAAGACGGUACCUCUUGAAUAAGCCACGGCUAACUACGUGCCAGCAGCCGCGGUAAUACGUAGGUGGCAAGCGUUGUCCGGAUUUACUGGGUGUAAAGGGCGUGUAGCCGGGCUGACAAGUCAGAUGUGAAAUCCACGGACUCAACCCGUGAACUGCAUUUGAAACUGUUUCCCUUGAGUGUCGGAGAGGUAAUCGGAAUUCCUUGUGUAGCGGUGAAAUGCGUAGAUAUAAGGAGGAACACCGGUGGCGAAGGCGGCCUGCUGGACUGCGACUGACGUUGAGGCCCGAAAGCGUGGGGAGCAAACAGGAUUAGAUACCCUAGUAUC
This 450-nucleotide ribosomal RNA is filed under the name uncultured bacterium. Its description in RNAcentral is "partial 16S ribosomal RNA". It matches the Rfam family "Bacterial small subunit ribosomal RNA", at positions 329 to 794 of the family's 1533-position model. The record is from RNAcentral.